This 410-nucleotide ribosomal RNA is filed under the name uncultured bacterium. RNAcentral's name for it is "bacterial SSU rRNA". It matches the Rfam family "Bacterial small subunit ribosomal RNA", at positions 608 to 1022 of the family's 1533-position model. The record is from RNAcentral.
CUUAACCCUGGUUUCUUUUUUGAACUAAUUAGUUAGAGUUAAAGAGAGGAUAGUGUAAUUUCCAAAGUAGUGAUGAAAUACGUAAAUAUUGGAAGGAGCACCAGAGGCGAAGGCGACUAUCUGGAUCUAUACUGACGUUGAGGUGCGAAAGCAUGGGGAGCAAACAGGAUUAGAGACCCUGGUAGUCCAUGCUGUCAACUAUGGGUGUUAAACAUUGGAAUUGUUUUCAGUGUUACAGCUAACGCGUUAAACACUCCGCCUGGAGAGUACGACCGCAAGGUUAAAACUUAAAGGAAUUGACGGGGGCCUAAACAAGCGGUGGAACAUGUGGUUUAAUUCGAUACUACGCGAAAAAUCUUACCAGUUUUUGAAUAUCUUGAUACGAAAAUAGAAAUGUUUUCUUUUUUUCA